This 320-nucleotide unclassified non-coding RNA is filed under the name Hevea brasiliensis (rubber tree). Lineage: Eukaryota; Viridiplantae; Streptophyta; Magnoliopsida; Malpighiales; Euphorbiaceae. The record is from RNAcentral.
UGAUGAACUCAUGUCUAACUUCUUUGCACAGCCAGAUGCCCUAGCCUAUGGGAAGACGCCAGAGCAAUUGCACAAGGAGAAUGUUCCAGAGCAUCUCAUUUCCCACAAGACAUUUUCUGGCAAUCGGCCUUCUCUUAGCAUUCUUCUUCCAUCAUUAAAUGCUUACAACAUUGGUCAGUUGCUAGCAAUCUAUGAGCAUAGAAUUGCUGUAGAAGGUUUUGUUUGGGGCAUCAAUUCUUUUGACCAGUGGGGAGUUGAAUUGGGCAAGUCACUUGCUACCCAGGUUCGAAAACAACUCAAUGCUUCUAGAACAAAGGGAG